CCGGGGGAUAAAAUUCCCAUGCGUGGGACAUUGAAGGUACCCGGUGAAUAAGCCACGGCUAACUACGUGCCAGCAGCCGCGGUAAUACGUAGGUGGCAAGCGUUGUCCGGAUUUAUUGGGUUUAAAGGGUGCGUAGGCGGCCUAUUAAGUCAGUUCUGAAAUAUCCCGGCUUAACCGGGAGGGUGGGAUUGAUACUGAUGGGCUUGAGUGGAAUCGAAGUAGGCGGAAUUGACGGUGUAUCGGUGAAAUGCUUACAUAUCGUCAAGAACACCGAUAGUGUACACAGCUUACUAGACUUCAACUGACGCUGAGGCACUAAAGUGUGGGGAUCAAACAGGAUUACAUACCCUGGUAGUCCACACUGUAAACGUUGAUUACUCGCUGUGUGCGAUAUACAGUACGCGGCUUAUCGAAAGCGAUAAUUAAUCCACCUGGGGAGUACGCCGGCGACGGUGAAACUCAAAGGAAUUGACCGGGGUCCGCACAAACGGUGGAGCAUGU
This 501-nucleotide ribosomal RNA is filed under the name uncultured bacterium. RNAcentral describes it as "bacterial SSU rRNA". It matches the Rfam family "Bacterial small subunit ribosomal RNA", at positions 439 to 942 of the family's 1533-position model. The record is from RNAcentral.